AGAACAAACACCAUUGAGUCACCAGCUCCCAAGGUCCUGUGUGGUGCUUUAUUGAUGGUAGGUGUAUGGAGCUUCCUGGAACAUGUUGUUCACAAAUAAAGAUGUCUUUCUGGCCUUAAGAGAGUGUGUGAAUCCCACUGGUCUGGGAGCAUGACAUAUUGAGCCAGAGUGUUUUACUAAAGCUGCUCUCUGAAGUUGGAGAUGGCAAUUGGGUUAGGAGAUAGCCACUGGGCAAGAAAAAAAUAUUAGAAAGCGCACACACAAAAAAUCACACAAGGAUGUGUGUCUGAGUAAAGAAAGCAAAAAGCAUCUUGAAUAAAGUAAAUACAGUAAAAACAAAAAGGAAAUUGCAUUGACACAAUCACUCUGGUAUAUAAUUUGAAAAUAUUAUCAAUUUCCUAAAAAUGAAACUGAAACUAAAGCACUGAAAUAUCAAGUAGCAGUGAAUAUUUUAAUAAUAUCUGCCUCAGAAAAUGUAAAAACAUAAAAUUUUAGGCAUCGGAGCAACAGCUGAAGACUAAAUGCAAAAUGAGACGAAUUAUUUUAGAAAAGCCAAUUAAAAAGUAAAUCCAUUUUGCUGUCUACAUAACUCAUCUUCCCCAGAAAGCAUAAAUGUCAAAAUUUUAAUAAAUCCUAUUAAAACAAUUCUUCAAGUUGCCAUUUUGCUACACAGAGGGUCAUAGACAUUCCAAGCUUCUAUAUACAUAAACUCUAUCGUAGUACCCAUUGUCCUGUUGUGUAUUGCAGACUUGCCCAUGUGAGCCAUCAGACAGACAGAUUAUAAAAUGUCCCGCAGAGAAGGCAGCUCUGGUCUAACAUUCAACUCUUUAUGGUAGCUAGGAACACCUUAACAGAAGUCCCUUCUGUCAGAAGGCUACUCAAGGUGGUGGGCCCAAGGAGAUGUCCUUAUUAUUCCCUGAAAUGGU
Molecule: long non-coding RNA, 926 nt
Filed under: Homo sapiens (human)
Lineage: Eukaryota; Metazoa; Chordata; Mammalia; Primates; Hominidae
Description: HSALNT0109099
Source: RNAcentral